UCCUCUGUCUCGGGCGCAGUGCUCUCUGUUUUAAGCGUGAAUUUCAUCGACUGCAUUUUCCUUGUUUGAUUCUGCAUUUUCCUUGCAUUUUCCUUGUUUUAUUCUAUCAGUUUCUUCGACGUUUUGAAAUAUGCGAAAGAAGAUUGCACCAAAACGAGUAGAAAGAGAACCAGAAAACAGGGAUACCAAAGAAAAUAAAAGAAAAAAUGUAUCGAAAAAACUUCGAAGGAGAAGAAGUAGAGAAAGUGCUAUAUAUAUUGACACGAGAAGCGUACCAAACUUGUUAGCGACACUUUCUUCUGAUUAUUUGAAUGAUGCGCAACGCAAUGAAGUCCGAGCAAUGGGUUUUGGAUCUCUCUUGGGUAUUCCCAUUUCCUAAGAAGAAUUUAAACCAUAAUUUGAUUUUGGCUCUUGUAAAUGCCUAUAAUUCUUUCAAAUUUCAUCUUCCCACUCCAAUAGGAAAAGUAGAUGUUACUUGGAAUUCAGUUGCAGCUGUCUUGGAAUUGCGUGCAUACAGUAAUAAUUAAAAUUUCUUUAAGAUCCUUUAGUUUAUUAAUUAGGAUUGACUGUAUAAAAUCAAACAUGUUGUAUAACAUGUUUUAAGAUUCUUCAUUAUGUUGCUAUUAAAUUUGAUUUUUAAUAUCACUUGAUUGGUAUAGGAGUAUAACUAUAUAUUGAAUUUGAAUCUUGCAUUACUGAUGACUUGCUUGUUGAACAUUUUACAUAUUGAAGCUAUUGAUGUUAAAAAUAUCAUGUUAUGCUGAGUUUGAUUAUCAUGUUGACUACUGAGUUUGAUUAUACAUAUUUACUGAGUUUGAUUAUACAUGUUUACCGAGUUUGAUUAUAAUAAUGUUUCUCUCAUUAUUUUCUUUAAAAUAAGUGACCCAUUCAAGGAGGUAACUAAAGAGCAUGAGCCCAUGCUUUUAGAGUUCAAGAAAAAAAAAAGUCCAAAUGCUUUGAGACAAAUCAUGUUAGAAAAUCCAAGAGGGGGUCCUAGAUUUAGGAGAGCUUUCUUGUUGUAUACAUUGAUAACAUUUUUGUUAUCAAUAAAUACAACAAUAACUUGGGAUAAAAUUUUUCCAUUUGUAAUUGAUGUUGAUAAUCCAAUGAAGUAUAAUUGGAUUAGAUACAUUGUUGAUGGCGUUGCUGAUGGAGUUAAUAACUUUAAAGAAGUGGUGUCAAAUUUGAAUGGGUGCAUAUAUUUGCUUUAGGUAUUUUUUAUUUAAACUAAUUUUAAUCAAAAGCAUGUUUGAUUAUAAUAUAACUUUAAUUAAUUGAAUUCAGAUUUUAUACUUCCAUAAGCAAAUAUAUGGACCCUUUGAUUUCGAGAAAGAACCACAACCGCCUUGGCUUUUCCAUUGGACAAAGAAACUCAUUUCUGCCCAAAUAACAUUAGAAAGAAAAAGUUCAUCAGUACUUGCAUUGUCCGCUGUCUAAAAUUUUAUUUUCUAUCCAUAGUGAAUGAAUUUUCACUAAUUAUGCAUGUCUUAUAAGGACUGGUUAGGUCAAAGGAAGAGCAACCUAUGCCUAAAAGGCCAGUUCGACCUAAGAAAAGCGUUGUGAAAGAGGCUACUAAAGUGGAAAAAGAGCAAAGUGAAAAGAAAAAAGUGGUAGACAGCCCUAAGAAGGAUAAAAAAGAAUUGAGGCAAGAAGAUUCUGCAAAAUCAACCAAAGUGAAAAAACAACAAAGUAAAAAGAGAAAAGUGGUAGACAGUCCUAAUAAGGACAAAAAAGAAUUGAGGCAAGAAGACUCUACAAAAUCAAAGAGAGAAAAGAAGCAAGAAGGAGGAGCAAACAUAAGUUCCAAUGAAAAGUUAGUUUGGUAUUCCCAUUAUUCUCUGUUUUGACUUUUCAACACUCAUGUAUACUACAUUCACUUUCGUACAUGGUGUUAAAAAUUAAUAAUUACUUGGUUUCUUUGAUUAUACUCUGAGUUUGAUUAUACAUAUUUUUAAAGUUUGAUUAUACUCAGGUUUAGUACUAUAUUUGACUAUUGAGUUUGAUUAUAUAUGUUUACUGAGUUUGAUUAUAAUCUGAGUUUGAUUAUACAUGUUUACCAAGUUUGAUUAUAUUCAGGUUCAGUGCUAUAUUUGAAUGCUAAGUUUGAUUAUAAUCUGAGUUUGAUUAUACAUGUUUACCGAGUUUGAUUAUAUUCAGGUUUAGUGCUAUAUUUGAAUGCUAAGUUUGAUUAUAUGUGUUUGCUGAGUUUAAUUAUGCUCAGGUUCAGUGCUAUAUUUGACUACUGUGUUUGAUUAUACAUGUUUGCUGAGUUUGAUUAUAAAUGACUAAUGAGUUUGAUUAUCCUUCCCAUAGUACAAUCUAAAUCUUCAUGAAAUGUAAAUCGCAAAUAUGUUUCUAGUUUGAUUACAUCCUUGCUUUUCCGUGCAUUAUCCACAACCGGAAUGAAAAGAAAACACACUCACCAUCAAUGCCUACCUUUAACCUUGGAGUUGAAUUUCCUCUAACACCUCCAGCACCUCCAACACCUCUAACAACUAUGACCUUGGAUUCAAUUGAUGUUCCAACCCAACAAGUGUUGGGUUCAAAGAUACCAUGCCUAAAUCAAACAACAGAUGUGCCAAUAGAGGUGUCAGAACCAAUUGUUGAGGAAUUAGUAUUGAAUGUUAAUAUGACUGAAAAAUUAUACGAGUGGGUGAUGGACGAAAGGAAAGAUGAAGAGAAGAUUGUGGCAACAUUUAGUGACCAGUGCAAUGUCUUUCUUAAAAGGACUAAUGCGCAAACAUUAAAGCCACGAAAUGAAAUAGAUAAUUGGGUUAGUAACACAAAAUAUUUUGUUUAGUAUAAAGUAUUUAUUUUAUUCUUGAAUUAUUUGAUUAUUAAUUGUUUGCUUUGCUUGUAUCAAGGUGGUCAACUAUUAUUGAUGCAUGCUUAAUGAGUUACCACAAACAAGAUUCAAGAAAGAUAUAUAUAUUUCAUGAAUUUAGACCCAAUGGUAAGAAAUUUUAUUAUGUAUCUCUUCGUUUUUUUAUUUGACAGAUUUUGUUCUAUUCUAAUUUAUGAUCAAUUUGAUUUUAAUUUCGGUUAUUGAGUUUUUAUAAAGUUGGGUAAGGUGAGAAGAGCUCUACAUCAGCUGACAUAUCUAGGAUCCCUAAUUUUAUCAAAAUUAGGAUGCGAGGAAGAAAACUUAUUUUCUUACCUUUUUGCCAUAACCGUCAUUAGUGGUUAUAUGCAUUAGAUGUUUGUAAUAACAAGUUUUACGUCCUUGACCCGUUGUACACAUCGUAGACUGCUGAACAGGAUGAAAUAGAUCAAUAUGUUGUAAGUUUAUUUUGUUAUAACAACUUUUAUUUAGGUCUUGAUAUUUGAUUAUCAUAUAACUUUGACAAUUUCAUGACAUUUUUUAGCAGGCAAGUUAUCUUGACAACAUGUUAGGAAUUGCGGAUCCUACAUAUGUUCAAACCCCCCUCAACUCCAACAAUUGAAUAUUUGGACGUACCCAAACAACCAAAUUUGCAUGAUUGUGGUUUGUUUGUAAUGAA
Non-coding RNA from Arachis ipaensis, 3500 nucleotides. NCBI's taxonomy places the organism in Eukaryota, Viridiplantae, Streptophyta, Magnoliopsida, Fabales, Fabaceae. The record is from RefSeq and is a predicted model, not a curated record.